AGUGAACGCUGGCGGUAGGCCUAACACAUGCAAGUCGAACGGCAGCACAGUAAGAGCUUGCUCUUACGGGUGGCGAGUGGCGGACGGGUGAGGAAUACAUCGGAAUCUACUUUUUCGUGGGGGAUAACGUAGGGAAACUUACGCUAAUACCGCAUACGACCUACGGGUGAAAGCAGGGGAUCUUCGGACCUUGCGCGAUUGAAUGAGCCGAUGUCGGAUUAGCUAGUUGGCGGGGUAAAGGCCCACCAAGGCGCCGAUCCGUAGCUGGUCUGAGAGGAUGAUCAGCCACACUGGAACUGAGACACGGUCCAGACUCCUACGGGAGGCAGCAGUGGGGAAUAUUGGACAAUGGGCGCAAGCCUGAUCCAGCCAUACCGCGUGGGUGAAGAAGGCCUUCGGGUUGGAAAGCCCUUUUGUUGGGAAAGAAAAGCAGCAGGUUAAUACCCCGCUGUUCUGACGGUACCCAAAGAAUAAGCACCGGCUAACUUCGUG
Molecule: ribosomal RNA, 492 nt
Filed under: uncultured bacterium
Lineage: Bacteria
Description: partial 16S ribosomal RNA
Rfam family: Bacterial small subunit ribosomal RNA
Source: RNAcentral